AAUCUUGCGCAAUGGACGAAAGUCUGACGGAGCAACGCCGCGUGAGUGAUGAAGGGUUUCGGCUCGUAAAACUCUGUGGUUAAGGAAGAACACUUGAGGUAGUAAUUGUCAUUGAGAUGACGCUACUUAACAAGAAAGCCACGGUUAACUACGUGCCAGCAGACGCGGUAAUACGUAGGGGGUAAGCGUUAUCCGUAAUUAUUGGGCGUAAAGCGCGCGUAGGCGGUAAAAUAAUUCUGAUGUGAAAGCCCCCGGCUCAACCGGGGAGGAUCAUUAGAAACUGUUUUACUUGAGUACAGAAGAGGAGAGUAGAAUUCCAUGUGUAGCGGUGAAAUGCGCAGAGAUAUGGAGGAACACCAGUGGCGAAGGCGGCUCUCUGGUCUGUUACUGACGCUGAGGUGCGAAAGCGUGGGGAUCAAAC
This 421-nucleotide ribosomal RNA is filed under the name uncultured bacterium. Its description in RNAcentral is "partial 16S ribosomal RNA". It matches the Rfam family "Bacterial small subunit ribosomal RNA", at positions 360 to 773 of the family's 1533-position model. The record is from RNAcentral.